AAAGGGGGGGUCUUGGAUUGGGGGCUUUCUGCCUGCUGAGGAGAUGCUCUGCUCUUGAGCUACAGCCCCUUCCCCUAAAGUGGGGUUGGGGGAGGAGGUGGAAUGGAGGGAGGCAGCCAGGUCACAGCUCCAGGCUGGCAGAGAAAGAAGGAAGCCAAAAAAGGAAUGUUUUGAAUGUUGGUGGGAAGAAGAUCCUCUUUCAGGCAUGACUCCACUUUCCUCGCAUGGUGGGGUUCAGGAGGGGGGGACACUCCUCUUUUAUCAUGGGAGCUCCACACCUAGGCAGGCUUAUCAUUCACCAGGAAAAUAUCUUGGGCGGGAAAAUGCCUGCAGGGCCUCAGAGGCUGCCUUUGCUUCUAUCUCCCUCCCAAUAACCUGCAUCUUCCGAGCUCCUCAGGAAGGAUGGAAGAGGCAGAUCCUAGCGAGGAUGGAAGGGGGAAGAUGGACGGUUGACCUGGUCCGGCUGCCUCCCCCAACCUCUGACCGUUCCCCUCCAGGACACUCAGAGAGAUCUGCGAGGAUGGAAGGAGGAAGAUGGACGGUUGACCUGGUCAGGCUGUCUCCCACCACCUUUGAAUGUUCCCUCCCAGGACCUUUAGAGAGAUCUGCAGGUGAUGAACACGACAGUCAUUGUUCUUGGGUCUCAUCAGAAAGAACCAAGAAUGAAGUCAAAGGAAAGACCUUUCAAGAUCAAGAGGAAACAAGACCACAAGAGAAAAACCAAGAAGAAAAUGGGAGGUAUGAAGGCCUUCUAAUGCAGACUGAUAACGACCAUCGAAUCCCAGUCCAGAAAAAACAUCAGAAGGGGAAGAAAACAAAUGGGAGACCUUUAUGUGGCAAAACAUUCAAAAGUAAUCUAGGUUCAAUUCACACUGCAGAAUCCACACAGAGGAGAAACCGUGUGAAUGCUUGGUGUGUGGAAAGAACUUCAGUGACAGCUCAGGCCUAA
Podarcis muralis (Common wall lizard) is the source of this 949-nucleotide non-coding RNA. NCBI's taxonomy places the organism in Eukaryota, Metazoa, Chordata, Lepidosauria, Squamata, Lacertidae. The record is from RefSeq and is a predicted model, not a curated record.